CCAUAACUUUUAUCGACACUUGAAUACAUAUAUUGGAUUCCAACUUAAUUAGCAAACAAAGAUAUGUCAAAAUUCACCCUUCCAACUCUUCCAAACAACCACAACUCAAUAAAGUUAAAUUACUACAUAAAGUAACUAGGUGAACUACAACACCAUGAACACCAUAAGCCAAGUUUCCAAGUUCUUAUCAUGACGUAGAUCAUUCAUUUACUAACUUUUAGUACCUAUAUCUCAAAUAUAUACAAAUCUCAUAAAUAAAUAAAAAACUCAUAUAUUAAAAAACAACUAACAAUCUGAAAUGUAAUAAACUUCAUAAUCAAAAUCAUGGAUUUCAGUCAUAGUUAAUCAUAAACACGAAAUUACUGUUUACUCAUAUCAUGAAAAAUCCCCAUUUGAGGAUACAUACAGAUAUUUGGAAAAAAAAAAAAAAAACCUCACCAUUUAGGUGCCUCUCGACUUGAGUCAUAUCUUUAAAAAAUUUAGAUACGAAAAUUUCAUAAAAAAAAAUCUUAAAAUCUAUAGAGGAAGUAACCUUCGACAUUGAGGAGGACUGCAAUUUCGAGAGCUACCGCUACGAGAAAGAGAGGAAGAAGAGAAAGAUCUGGAGCAAGAAUGAGAGCUAGACGAGGAAGCAAAUCUAGAGUAGGACACGGAGUGAGAGCGAGAAUUGGACUUAGAGUUUGAACCGGAAUAAGAGUAGGAACAAGACCUAGACCGUAAACAAGAACAGGAAGAGGAACCGGAGUUGGAGACAAAACGAGAACGACGACCUCUCAGCUAGAUUCAUAUCUUUAAAAAAUUAAGAUAUGAAAAUUUCAUUAAAAAAUCUUAAAAUCUACAGAGGAAGUAACCUUUGAUGUUAAGGAUUACGAUUUCGAGAGUUACCGCUACUAGAAGGAGAGGAAGAGGAGAAAGAUCUGGAGCGAGAACGAGAGCUAGACGGGGAAGUAGAUCUGGAGCGGGACACAAAGCGAGAGCGAGAAUUGGAUUUGGAUUUGGAGUCUGAAUCGAAAUAAGAGCGAGAGCUAGACCUAGACUGUGAACAAGAACAGGAAAAGGAACCAGAGUUGGAGACAAAACGAGAACGACGAUCUCUUGUUGGCUUUACGAUUUGCAGAAUACAAAGAGAGGAAUAGUAGAGAUAAGAAACCAUUUUUUUUUAUAUUUUUAUCUUUUGAAAAUGUUUUUAUUGAUUUUUAAUAUUUUUUAGAUUAUGACAUCAUCGUGAUGUUUGAAGGGCG
RNAcentral lists this long non-coding RNA (1241 nucleotides) under Gossypium barbadense (sea-island cotton). RNAcentral's name for it is "long non-coding RNA (GBAR_LNC010412)". Lineage: Eukaryota; Viridiplantae; Streptophyta; Magnoliopsida; Malvales; Malvaceae. The record is from RNAcentral.